UCCCUGGAGGACUAGUGGUUAGGCCGCGUUGCUCUCACCACCGCGGCUCAGGUUUGAUUCCUGCCCAGGGAA
RNAcentral lists this transfer RNA (72 nucleotides) under Pangasianodon hypophthalmus (striped catfish). RNAcentral's name for it is "tRNA-Glu". It matches the Rfam family "tRNA". From Rfam's summary of the family: Transfer RNA (tRNA) molecules are approximately 80 nucleotides in length. Lineage: Eukaryota; Metazoa; Chordata; Actinopteri; Siluriformes; Pangasiidae. The record is from RNAcentral.